Molecule: small nucleolar RNA, 104 nt
Filed under: Rhizoctonia solani 123E
Lineage: Eukaryota; Fungi; Basidiomycota; Agaricomycetes; Cantharellales; Ceratobasidiaceae
Source: RNAcentral
GAGUGAUGAGAUACUAGAUGACGAGUCUGAGCUCGUGUGCAAGAGUUUCUCUUGUACAUGUCGUUGACGACUCUUUCCUAAAUACCAUUCAUGCUUUCCUGAUU